GCACCAACAACCAGAAAUUUUUCCACGAAAGUAGUGAAAUUAGUAUGAACUAAUUAUUGAAUCAUAUCUCUGAUAACAAUUGCUAUCUAUCUGCGCAAACAGAUGUCAAUGCCCGAGGGUUGAGAUUCAUUCUUAAAUGCAAUAGCUCAGCCCUCUAAAACAAAACAAAGAACCAAUUGUACAGCAAAGCUUAAGCUAUCACUCCAUAACUGCAACUCCUCCAGCAGCUUUUAUCUUCUCUAUUAUGCCAUUUGCUUCCUCUUUUGUGACCCCUUGUUUAAGCAAAACAGGUACCUUCUCCACCAGGUCUUUGGCCUCCUUCAACCCCAAAUUAGUAAAACCUCUCACCUCUUUAAUUACCUUGAUUUUUGCUGCUGCAUCAAACUUCUCCAACUUCACAUCAAAUGUUGUUUUCUCUUUCUUCUCCUCAACCUUUGUAGCUCCAGCAGCUGGGGCUCCUUGGAGACCCAAGUCCAUGCCUUCUGUUGAAAUUG
RNAcentral lists this unclassified non-coding RNA (494 nucleotides) under Hevea brasiliensis (rubber tree). The record is from RNAcentral. Lineage: Eukaryota; Viridiplantae; Streptophyta; Magnoliopsida; Malpighiales; Euphorbiaceae.